AUUNAACGCUGGCGGCAGGCNUAACACAUGCAAGUNNNGCGGAUGAAGGGANCUUGCUCCNGGAUUCAGCGGCGGACGGGUGNAGUAAUGCCUAGGAAUNUGCCUGGUAGUGGGGGAUAACGUCCGGAAACGGGCGCUAAAUACCGCAUACGUCNUGAGGGAGAAAAGUGGGGGAUCUUCGNNCCUCACGCUAUCAGAUGAGCCUAGGUCGGAUUAGCUAGUUGGGUGGGGUAAAGGCCUACCAAGGCGACGAUCCGUAACUGGUCUGAGAGGAUGAUCAGUCACACUGGAACUGAGACACGGUCCAGACUCCUACGGGAGGCAGCAGUGGGGAAUAUUGGACAAUGGGCGAAAGCCUGAUCCAGCCAUGCCGCGUGUGUGAAGAAGGUCUUCGGAUUGUAAAGCACUUUAAGUUGGGAGGAAGGGCAGUAAGUUAAUACCUUGCUGUUUUGACGUUACCAACAGAAUAAGCACCGGCUAACUUCGUGCCAGCAGCCGCGGUAAUACGAAGGGUGCAAGCGUUAAUCGGAAUUACUGGGCGUAAAGCGCGCGUAGGUGGUUCAGCAAGUUGGAUGUGAAAUCCCCGGGCUCAACCUGGGAACUGCAUCCAAAACUACUGAGCUAGAGUACGGUAGAGGGUGGUGGAAUUUCCUGUGUAGCGGUGAAAUGCGUAGAUAUAGGAAGGAACACCAGUGGCGAAGGCGACCACCUGGACUGAUACUGACACUGAGGUGCGAAAGCGUGGGGAGCAAACAGG
This 757-nucleotide ribosomal RNA is filed under the name uncultured Pseudomonas sp. Its description in RNAcentral is "bacterial SSU rRNA". It matches the Rfam family "Bacterial small subunit ribosomal RNA", at positions 28 to 776 of the family's 1533-position model. The record is from RNAcentral. Lineage: Bacteria; Pseudomonadati; Pseudomonadota; Gammaproteobacteria; Pseudomonadales; Pseudomonadaceae.